This is a long non-coding RNA of Oenanthe melanoleuca, 292 nucleotides long. RefSeq lists it as uncharacterized. The transcript is spliced from 3 exons. The record is from RefSeq and is a predicted model, not a curated record. NCBI's taxonomy places the organism in Eukaryota, Metazoa, Chordata, Aves, Passeriformes, Muscicapidae.
GAGAGAUCUGCAUGACAGUGAGCCAGGAUGGCCUCAAGGGACCUGGACUUGGGUUCUGCUAUUGCUGAUGAGCGGUACUAUAGACAUGAACAAGCUCUUCUCACAAUAUCUGGGAUACCGGCUCAUUGUGGCUUCUGUGGACAUGGGGGAAAUUCCUGGCAUAUUCCAGGACCAAGACAUUUGAAGGUCCCUCAGUGACUGAAAAUGGGACUGAACCUUUCUUGAAGAUUUCCUUUUUAACCAUGGCAGGAAGACUGGGAUUGUGACAAGAGGAAGGGGAAACACAGAAGAG